UUAAAUUAUUUGAUCGACAUGUUCUUGGAUACUCGUGGAGCAUUGUUUAUGCCUGAGGGCUUGUCUAUAAAUGUAUAUGCUUUUUAAAAAUUUACAUGAGCUAAAUUGUGAGUGAUGUUGAUAUGAGUCGUGCAAUAGGCUGCAUGCUUAUAUCGUUGAUUAUUCUUCUUAUUCUUCUAAGUAUUUACCUAAACAGUGAUAUGUGGAGAUUUGGAUGUGUCCAUAAAUUGAUGGUGUCGUCUGCAAAAUUAUGGAUAAUUACGAUAAAAAUCUUAUAUGUUAUUUUACAUGAUGAUCCAUAUACAUGUUUAUGAUGCCUUAACUAUUUACAUGUUUAUAAUUAGCUUACCAUACUGGUUAUAUAUAAUCUCGUAAAUAGAAAAGGAGAUUUAGCUUACCAUGUAUAGCUUGUAAGAUAGGAUGGAUAGACUUAUAGUCACAACACAAGAACUUUGAACUGUGAAUUUGCUUUAUUGUUUCUUCACGUGAUAAAUGACUAGUCUGAGCUUCAGUUUUUUGUUCUUGGCUUUUAAUGUAUUGUUAAACUAUUGUGUCUUGUAAUUAAUGUUUGAAAUCUAUUUAUCUGAUUUGCCAGCCGAUAUCUUUACUGAAAUCCUAGACGAUGAUGUUUUGGUCUUGCCCCCACAUGUACUCGGUAUAACUGGAGUGUGAAAGAGUUGCAUAAAAUGCUUCAUUGGUGCAUUGAGCAACUUCAGCAGUUCAGCCAUAUGAACAAUAAGGCACUAGAUCAACAUGAGGUAAGUGACGAGGCACUCCAGAAAAGGCAAGCUGAACUUGAGGCAAGUGACGAGGUACUAUGGUACUGGAUUUUAAUGCUUAAAUAUCUUCUGUUUUACUUAUUGUUUUUAACGUGGGAUUAUAAUUGUAGUUUUGUGAGUAUGAAAAUGAUAUUUCUCUCAUUCUUGAUGCAUGAGUACAGUAUGUAUAUAUACAGGUCUAGGAUUAAUCUAAAUACCUAGAAUCAAGCUAUAAUUGAAUGCAUAUAAAUCAGCCCUGCAAUCAGCCCUAUAACUGACAGCCCUAUAGUUGACUUACUCUAUUUAGAACAAUAAUCAAUCCUAUAAUUGAUUUACUAUAUUUAAAACAAUAAUUUACUUAUCUUUACUUCAACGACAAACAUAAGCAGUAAAAAAGCAGACUGAGCUUGAGCUUGAUGUGAAAGACCUGCUAGAGAGAAUUUCAGGACAUAUCCAAGCCAAAGUAUCAAACUCUAGCAAAGAGAAAAAUGCUAAUUAUUUUUUGGGGAUAAAGAAUGUUGAAUGCUUUUAUUUAACAUGUGCCUUGCUUUCAGGAUGAUGCUAUGAUUUAACGUGUGCUAUGCUAAAAUGUUCUUUGUCUGCUUGGCUUCUUGGAUUAGUUCAGGUAUUCCUCACUUGGCUUCUUGCAUCAUUCUUACAACAACCCGUGACAUCACGUAGGUAAUUUACGUAUUAUGUUAAAUAUUCUCUCUUAGAGUUGUGUUCCCAAUUUGCCAGACGGUCCGGCAUAAUCACUAGCAGUCUCUUGACCUUCUGCCCUGGUCACUUUAUCGUUUGAAUGAUGCACUUCAUAUCAAUAUGUAUUUUGAGCAACUUAUUUCAUGUGGUGGUUGGGUAUAAUAACAUAUUAAGUCUAAUAAUUAGGCACCUUCAUAUCAAUAUGACGUGGUGGCUUUAAUAAAGAAGUUGAAGUUUUCUCCUAAUUUUCCCCUAGGAUUUGUACAGGUUAGUUCUCCAUCGAGCUUGUUCUAACUGAAAUAGUAUUGAUACAGCAAAAACUUUGAUUUGAGUUUUGAGUUUUGGUCUACACACGAUUGAAAACUCAGUAAUUACCUGUGCUAUAUAUCUCUACGUGUUUUGUUAAUUGAUUGUUGAUGUUUUCAUUAGCUUGUUCUGCAAAUUUGGGUUGAAAGUUUUUGGUGCGACUGUUUAUUGAUUGCUUUUGGAAUCCAUGGAUGGAUAGUUGUGAGAAAAAGUUUCAAUUUGAUAAUUGUGGUCGAUUAGUCCCACGUGUAAAAUCAAGCAAGGCUAUAAAGUACCUACAUAUAGCCUUUUUCCUUGAUGUGAUAGUUGUAAGUAACUUAAAUUAUUUGAUCGACAUGUUCUUGGAUACUCGUGGAGCAUUGUUUAUGCCUGAGGGCUUGUCUGUAAAUGUAGAUGCUUUUUAAAAAUUUACAUGAGCUAAAUUGUUAGUGAUGUUGAUAUGACUCCUGCAAUGAGCUGCAUGCUUAUAUUGUUGAUUAUUCUUCUUAUUCUUCUAAGUAUUUGCCUAAACCGUGAUAUGUGGAGAUUUGGAU
Molecule: long non-coding RNA, 2296 nt
Organism: Populus nigra (black poplar)
Lineage: Eukaryota; Viridiplantae; Streptophyta; Magnoliopsida; Malpighiales; Salicaceae
Exons: 3
Source: RefSeq, a predicted model, not a curated record